UCUCUUAUGUAAUUCUUCUCCUCUAUCAUUCCAUUAUUUAACCAUCAUCUAAGAGCUUUGAAAUAACUAUUGUUGUGAUGACUGGGAAAUUGAGAAGCAAAUGUUGAAAAAGCAAAAAAAGUUCAGGCCUCAUCACCGUGGGACUUUUAUUGCGAAUUGGAAUUGGGGAUGGUGAGCUUAUAUGGAAGAUUCUUCAAGAGUGAAUACAACAUGUGAGGUUUUUGCCCUCUUCCUACUUUCUGUUAGAUUUUGGUGAAAUUUUUUGUUUGUUUUUCCAGAGUGGCUUGGUUGAGUUUUGUUCUACAAUUAAAAACCAAAGAAGAGAUACGAGGAAGGAGAGAUUUUGGUUGGUGAUGACAGUGUUGAACAGUUGCGGCUUACAUAAUUAGUAUUAAGUGAUGAUAGUUCAGAUCCGUUCAUGACAACUACUUCUAGAUUAAAGGCUGAUGCGUCUUCUUCCAACUUAGCAAAGAUUGUCGUUUUAUGUUGUAAUUUAUUUAUUUAUUUGUGCACUUUGAGUUAUUUACUGUUUUGCGUUUAGAUUAUGGUGUGAAUAUUAUAUUUUUUAGGUCAUAUAGAAUUUUUUAGGUCAUAAUAUUAUAUUUAAGUUAAUGGAGUUCUUUUUUUAUAAAAUGUAAACAAAAAUUGAGAUUUGAGUUUGAAAUUUUAAUUGAGUA
Molecule: long non-coding RNA, 677 nt
Organism: Lotus japonicus
Lineage: Eukaryota; Viridiplantae; Streptophyta; Magnoliopsida; Fabales; Fabaceae
Exons: 4
Source: RefSeq, a predicted model, not a curated record